This 348-nucleotide unclassified non-coding RNA is filed under the name soil metagenome. RNAcentral describes it as "partial contains 5.8S ribosomal RNA, internal transcribed spacer 2, and large subunit ribosomal RNA". The stretch from base 1 to 120 matches the Rfam family "5.8S ribosomal RNA", at positions 35 to 154 of the family's 154-position model. The record is from RNAcentral.
GAUGAAGAACGCAGCAAAAUGCGAUAAGUAAUGUGAAUUGCAGAAUUCAGUGAAUCAUCGAAUCUUUGAACGCACAUUGCGCCCGCUGGUAUUCCGGCGGGCAUGCCUGUUCGAGCGUCAUUUCAACCCUCAAGCCCCCGGGUUUGGUGUUGGGGAUCGGCUCUGCCCUUCUGGGCGGUGCCGCCCCCGAAAUACAUUGGCGGUCUCGCUGCAGCCUCCAUUGCGUAGUUGCUAACACCUCGCAACUGGAACGCGGCGCGGCCAUGCCGUAAAACCCCAACUUCUGAAUGUUGACCUCGGAUCAGGUAGGAAUACCCGCUGAACUUAAGCAUAUCAAUAAGCGGAGGA